GAUGAACGCUGGCGGCGUGCCUAAUACAUGCAAGUCGAACGCAUUGUGGUUGAAAUGAUAUGAAGAACUUGUUCAGAUUUGAUUUUCAACAUUGCAAUGAGUGGCGAACGGGUGAGUAACACGUGGGAAACCUACCUCUUAGCAGGGGAUAACAUUUGGAAACAAAUGCUAAUACCGUAUAAUAAUUAAAACCGCAUGGUUUUAGUUUAAAAGAUGGUCUUGCUAUCACUAAGAGAUGGUCCCGCGGUGUAUUAGUUAGUUGGUGAGGUAAUGGCUCACCAAGACAAUGAUACAUAGCCGAGUUGAGAGACUGACCGGCCACAAUGGGACUGAGACACGGCCCAUACUCCUACGGGAGGCAGCAGUAGGGAAUCUUCCACAAUGGACGAAAGUCUGAUGGAGCAAACGCCGCGUGUGUGAUGAAGGGUUUCGGCUCGUAAAACACUGUUGUAAG
RNAcentral lists this ribosomal RNA (454 nucleotides) under uncultured bacterium. RNAcentral's name for it is "bacterial SSU rRNA". It matches the Rfam family "Bacterial small subunit ribosomal RNA", at positions 28 to 442 of the family's 1533-position model. The record is from RNAcentral.